RNAcentral lists this ribosomal RNA (784 nucleotides) under uncultured bacterium. Its description in RNAcentral is "bacterial SSU rRNA". It matches the Rfam family "Bacterial small subunit ribosomal RNA", at positions 91 to 892 of the family's 1533-position model. The record is from RNAcentral.
CUUAGCAGCGAACGGGUGAGUAACACGUAGAUAAUCUAUCCUAUACUGGGGGAUAGCCCGAUGAAAGUUGGAUUAAUACCGCAUAUAGCUAUAUAGUUGCAUGAUUAUGUAGUGAAAGAUUUAUUGGUAUAGGAGGAGUCUGCGGCACAUUAGCUAGUAGGUGAGGUAAAGGCUUACCUAGGCGACGGUGUGUAGCCGGUCUGAGAGGAUGAACGGCCACAAUGGAACUGAGACACGGUCCAUACUCCUACGGGAGGCAGCAGUGGGGAAUAUUGCACAAUGGGGGAAACCCUGAUGCAGCAACGCCGCGUGAGUGAAGAAGGUUUUCGGAUUGUAAAGCUCUGUUAGCAGGGAAGAGGAAGGACGGUACCUGCAGAGGAAGCCACGGCUAACUACGUGCCAGCAGCCGCGGUAAUACGUAGGUGGCAAGCGUUGUUCGGAAUAACUGGGCGUAAAGGAUGCGUAGGCGGUUAAACAAGUUAUAUGUUAAAUAUAUAGGCUUAACCUGUAGAAAGCAUAUAAAACUGUUUAACUAGAGUGCAGGAGAGGUAAGUGGAAUUCCUAGUGUAGCGGUGAAAUGCGUAGAGAUUAGGAAGAACACCAGUGGCGAAGGCGACUUACUGGACUGUAACUGACGCUGAGGCAUGAGAGCAUGGGGAGCAAACAGGAUUAGAUACCCUGGUAGUCCAUGCUGUAAACGAUGGGUACUAGGUGUGGGUUGUGAAUAACAAUUCGUGCCGUCGCAAACGCAAUAAGUACCCCGCCUGAGGAGUACGAUCGCAAG